RNAcentral lists this long non-coding RNA (1751 nucleotides) under Mus musculus (house mouse). RNAcentral's name for it is "long non-coding RNA chr9:72460274-72462025". The record is from RNAcentral. Lineage: Eukaryota; Metazoa; Chordata; Mammalia; Rodentia; Muridae.
GCCAAUCUUUAAAUGUUUGGUAGAAGCUGGCAGUGAAGCCGUCAGGUCCUGUGUUUUUCUUUGAGGAGAUUUAUUUUUUUAAAUAUUUAUUUUUAUUUUAUGUGUAUCCCUGAGUGCAUGUCUAUGUAUCCCGUUUGUGCAGAGGUCAAUGGAGGCCAGAAAAGGGCCUUGAACCCCUAGAGCUGGAGUUAAAGGUGGCUGUGAGCAGCCCUGUGGGUGCUGGGAACUGAAUUUGGGUCCUCUGCAAUAGCAGCAAUGCCCUCCGUAACCACUGUGCCAUCACACCAGCUCCCAAUAGAGCUUUUUAUUAUGGAUUUGAUCUACUUGAUCUCCCUUCUUACUAUGGGUGUGUCCAGGUUUUUCUAUCUUAGUUAAUUCUUGGUAGUAUAUCUCCAGAAAUUAAACAUUCUGUGUUAUCCAAAUUGUUCAUAAUCACUUAUACUUAUGAUCCUUUGGUACAGUAAGUGUGUCCCUGUUUCCAUCUCUAUUUUGUCUCCUGUGUGCACAACCACUGAACAAGAGAACACACACAUAGCCCCUGCACAACAGCCUCUGGUCCCAGCCUGCAUCACUGCUGUUGGAUGCAGCAGCCGUGCACAGCACACAGGCCUGCAGCAGACUCAGCAGCUGCAGCUGGGGAUCUCCAGAAUCUUGCCCUGCCAUCUUCUCUGUCCUCUCCCAGGUCUAGUAGGUCAUAAAAGAUAAUUAAGAGUCGAAGUCUUGCUUCCUUAUUUCAUAACUACUAAUGAAAAAGGAAGUCAGGCCAGAGUUGCCGUCUGGCUUUGUCUUCCAACAUCCUCCCAAACAUUCUGUUUAUUUCACCAGGUCAUUAUCUAACUCUUUUAUUUCACAAAUGUUCUUAUUACUCAUGAACAGCAAGAAGACUACACUUGAUAUCAAAUGAGCAUCCCAUUGCAGUUGCUCACUCAUGAACUGCCCCACUCAAGAGCCUUCAUAAACUCCUCCUCGCUGAAAGACAGCAUCUUGGCAGCUUCAAUAUGCAUCUGUUUUUAAAAAAUAUAUAUUGUUCAAUUUAGAGAUGGACACACAACAAAAGAAAAUUUGUUUGUGUUAAUAUGCUAUCAAAAAAAUAAGCUAUUGUUGGAUUAUACAUACUAACCAUGCAAGUGUAACACUUUAAAUUGAUAUUACAUGAAGACCAAGCUACUGUUAAAAGAAUAAUUUGAUAUCAUUAUACCUGAUCUUUGUAACGAGAGAGGGCUGUGAAUUGUCUUUUUUCAUGUUUCAAGAAAGAUACAAUGUGUUUUAGAAUUACUGCUCAAAGUUUGAAGAGGAAAUUAAUCCACUAAAAUUAGUCAUUCUCAUGAAUGGUACUUUCUGUAGUUGGGAGGGAAUAUAUAUACAAACAUAUCUGUGUAUGUGUGCGCGUGCGUGCGUGCGUGCGUGUGUUUUAAACCAGUGAACCUCACUAUGUAUUACACAGAUGUGACUUCACACGUAUACAGUGCAUCUUUAGAUACAAUUUUAUGUGUAAGAUUAUAAGCAAAGUAAAAACAAACUUUUUGGCAGAACGGUCUGUCUGUAGUGUAUCUGAGAUACAGCGUCUAUUGUUAGACUCACCUUCUGCCUUUUCAAAAUGUCAAUCAAUUUCAACUGCUUCUUGAACCCUAUCAUUAAUUCUCCUUUUUGUCUUUCUAGUUUUUUGUUUUCUGAUUUCAACACUUCAAUUUUUUGAUGGUCUUCAUUUGUAAUAUCCUAUGAAAGCAAAUAAAAAAAAUUUUAGUUGAAAU